This is a long non-coding RNA of Heterocephalus glaber (naked mole-rat), 2831 nucleotides long. Lineage: Eukaryota; Metazoa; Chordata; Mammalia; Rodentia; Bathyergidae. The record is from Ensembl.
AGCUUCUGGAAGGUGAUUGGAUCAUGGGGCGCUCUACUCAUUAGUGGAUUCAUCCAUUGAUAUAUUCGUGGCUGAAGGCACUGUUUGGAGGUGGAGCCUAGUUGGAGGUGGGUCACGGAGGGGCACCACCUGAAGGGUGUAUUCUUCUCCCUUCUCUCUCUGCUUCUUGUCUGUCAUGGGAUGAUAAACUUUCUUCUACCAUGCCCUUCCACAGUGCCAUUUCUGCCUUGGAGCUAGCCAACCAUGGACUGAAUUUGCUGAACUGUGAGUCAAAUUAAACAUUUUCUCCUUAUAAGUGCCAGGUAUUGGGUCCAGCAUCGGGAAAACUGACCAAUACAAAUGCCAUCUUCCUGAAGAAGUCUCUCCUGGUGCCUUCUGACUCCUCCCAUCUGCAGUGGCUGCCUGCUAUGACUGGCACUCGGUUGCCAGGCUAGAUUCUUCCUUCACCAUUGCCCUGUGGAUUCUUUUCACCUCUUUUCUCUGUGUUGGACUUUAUAUUUUUCCUGCCUCAUGUGUCUUCCUCUUUUUAUUUUCCUUCCUGUUUCAUAAGAACAAAACUUUCUUUCAUGAGAACUGGCAUACAGUAGCUAAAUUUUCUGAAGUCUCUCAUGAAAAUGUUUUUAUACCCUGAUACUUGGCUAGUAGUUUGGUCAAUAAUCAAGUUCUUGGUUGGAAACAAUCCUUCAGUGUUUGGAAGACACUACUCCAUUUUCAACUUCCUGUGUUAAUACUGACAAGCUGGAAACCAUUCUGAUUCCUGACCUCUGGACUAGGUCACAUUCAGUUUGAAAAUACAUGUUCUUCAACUCCGAAUGGCCAGAUUUCCCAGAGAAGACUCUUCUGUUCUCCUACCUAGACAAGAGACUAGAUGCCAAUUCAGGAAGAUAGCAGGGCCGUAUGCAUCAAAUAUGUGUUCAUUUAUUUCCUCCCUCUAACUUGCUAUUAAAAUUGUCAAACACAGAAAAUCAGAAAGAAUAGUCCAGUGGCUACCUGUAUACCCUUCAUCUAGAUUAACAAUAAUUUAAUUUGCCAUAUUUGUCCUUUUCCUUUUUCCCUCUGAAACUUUGAAAGUAAGAUGAUACCACAUAUUUCAGCAUACAUCUCAUCAAAUUAAGGACAUUUCCUACAUAACCAUAUGUCAUAUCUAAGAAAAAUAACAAUAAUUUUAUCAUUUAAUAUUCUUAUUUAAAUUUCCCCAAUUGUCAUAAAAAUGUUGCUGUAUUUUGGAUGGUACGCCUGCCUUAAACUAUAUACUUAGUGUCCCUUAGUUCAAGCUUUACCUUUAUUCUUCCUUGACAAAAAAAUCCAUAAACUUUUGCUAGGGUGGAGAAAGGCAAUCACUCAAUCAUGUAGACUGGGGGAGGAUAUCUAUUCCUUAAUCUGCAAUCCUCUCCUACUAGCACCAUACGUACAUUUAAACUUACUGCCGGCUGUAUUUGCUGCUGCUAGCUGCUGAAUGAGCUUUUUGGGGGAUUCUGUGACACGUAUAGGGUCAUAUUUGCCCUUUCCUCUUGCUAAAUUAGGGUCAGUUUGCUCAUUUCUGCUGUACUGAUGACUAUACCACUUACUGUGCAAACAGAACACAUUUGAGAGUAAAAGUUAACACUAUUAUUAUGACAGGAUUAUUACUAGGGGCAAGCCAGGCUUGCCAGACUAACACAUGGUCACUUUAGGAAGUCAUUUCUUACCUGAUUUCAGCUUGACAGCUUUGUUCUUAUGGCCCCCUCACCUGAUCUUUCAUCCUUGAACUAUUCUGUAUUAAGAAGCAAAAAACAAAACCCUUUCCCAUUGUUUUAUUGUUUAUUUAUAUGGAGAGGCAUGUGUUCAAUGACUAUAUCAUCUUUAUCUCAAUUUAAUUAUCUUUCACGCUGAUCACUUUGUACUUGGACAUUUUGUUAUUUUAAUAUUGAGUGCCUUGCUUCACUUCUGAUGGCAUCUCUAGGACUUUCCUUGACCUAAAGUGAAGUCUUUUAUGUAAAUGUUCAAUAAAUAUCUGUUUUUUUGAAUAAAGCUCACCAUCUUUGUUUAUUUUAAACAUAGAAUAUCAAAUAAUUGUCAGCCAGACCAAAAUCAGAAGGCAUAUGAUACAGACUGUAAAAGUAGUUUUGAAUUAGAUUGUAGAGUAAACUAUUCUAUAUGCCUGAGAUACCUUUGUCUCAAAUCUCAUUGAAAAACCUAUUCUUUCAAGGCCCACCUCAAAUAUACCUUCACUUUUAAAUCUUCCUUGAUAAUAUUCUAGAAAAUGUUUUCCUAUUUCCUAAAAUUUUUUUCCUAUUUCUAUUCUAGAAAAUUUUUAGAGGAACUCUAAAAUUCUAUGAUAUCCACUAAUUGUAUCAUUUUUCAUUUAUUGCACAUGUCAUAAAUAUCUCAUUUCUCCUAGUGUGUGGCUUUCAAAUUAUUUUGAGUGCAACCUACAUUUAGACACGUAUUUUACAUUGCAACCCAGUUGUAAGGACAUAUAUAACAGAACACACAUACACACAAAUUGCUAAAAUAAGUGUGUCAGAAAAGUACAUCUCUUUACUGUAACUCAUAGAUUUAUUAUAUUUUACUUUUAAAAAAUUGCUUCUGCUCUACCUCAGAUCAAGAGAUGGGUAGAGGGGUUAGGGAGGGAAAGGAAAGGGGAUGAACAAAAGAAUUAAGAUGUACUGUAUCCAUGUACCAACUCCCCACAAGGAAUGUAAACAUUAUGUACUAUAAACAUGUACUAAUAAAUAAAUUUAAAAACUAAUCUCUUGUCCCUUUAGUAAAUUGUGAUCCACAGUUUGAAAAAUACUGCUCUUGUGCAGAACUUCUUAAUCUGGGAUCUAUGUAUAUAAUUUACUGGCCUG